Molecule: long non-coding RNA, 5484 nt
Filed under: Linum usitatissimum (flax)
Lineage: Eukaryota; Viridiplantae; Streptophyta; Magnoliopsida; Malpighiales; Linaceae
Description: long non-coding RNA (LUSI_LNC003449)
Source: RNAcentral
CCCCCCCCCCCCCCCCGCCGUAUGGUGGUGGCGGUGACGGGUUUCAAACGUAGUAUCAUCUUAUGAGGGAUACAACACCGGUGGUGGAGACAAAAACGAGCUACGCAAGAGCUGCAACCUUAGUAGCGAGCUUAGUGAUGCAUCAUAUGCACAUGUCAAAGCAGAAUCCUGAGUAAUUGCAAGUGGAGACGAGUCCGCCAUUGGCAGCUAGGAUGAGGUACAACAAAGGAGGAGACAAGAUGUCGAGCACUUACGAUCUCGUCGAAAAGAUGCAUUUCUUAUAUGUAAGUGUUGUAAAAGCUAGAGAUCUUCCUAUAAUGGAUGUCCCCGGGAGUUUAGAUCCUUAUGUAGAAGUGAAGUUAGAGAACUACAAGGGGAAGACAAAGCACCACGAGAAGAAUCAAAAUCCGACAUGGCAUCAGAUUUUCGCCUUUUCGAUGGAGAGGUUACAAUCGAAUUUGUUUGAAGUUGUUGUGAAAGAUAAGGAUUGCUGCUAUUCUGCUGUUGGGGUUGGUGGUGCCCUACUGAUCUUUUAGUUUUAUGCUUUACUGUUGUUGAUUGCUUGGGUGGGUUGUGAUCUCUCUAUUUUUUCAAGAGGAAGUUGUGAUCAAUGCUCUCAAGCAAUUAGCGGGACGUCAUGCGAGGAAUUGGAAGAUGAACCUGGGAAUGAUUAGAUACUUAGCUGCUUGCUUCUUUGGUCGAUUAGAUUAGGAUAGUACUGUAUAGGAAUUUGCAGUCUUCCGCAUUACUACUUGUAACCGUAGCUCUCUGUAACUUCUAUUUGGGGUUCCUCUGUUGGGUGUGGGUGGCUUUUGCUUUGAUCCAUGCAGUAGCCUUUUCUUAUAUACAACUUAUGUAAUAAAAGAUGCAAUCGUUCUUUAUGUGUCAUUAUAAAUUUUCCAGAUGAGAGUAUUGAUAUUUCGAAAAUACUAAAGAAUACGGAGGGUUAUGGGUAGCCGAAUAUCAAACCUAAACUCAGAAUUCUAACUCUCAAAGAUUAUAUCAUAGACUCAUAUUCUAAAUUGAACUUCAAACCUAAAUAGUGGACCAUAAACCCAAUUUAAUACUUACCACUAUGUUAUAAAUAGUAAACACUAAACAAGGUAAGUAUUGAGUUGGUCGGCGUUCGUCUGUCUGUUCUGGUCGCUUCGACGCAAUGUCCCACCUACCGGCGAGCCAAUCUUCGAUUCAAGGUAUGUACUGAGCAAAACCCUAAUUUUUUCAAAUUUGGGAAUUUUAUUGAUUGAGUUAAGGGUCUAGGGUUCCUAGUGCAUACCAAAAACCAUCAAUUACAUAAUAAAAAGGUUGAAACACCCUAAACGUCUAGCAUUUAUUAAAUGACUAAAUUGCCCUCCAGGGACUUGUUGAAUAGGAAUUCAAAUCUUCUUUUAAGUAAACAAGGAAAAUAACAUAAAACAAACUUAACUACUUUAACAAACUACGGAAACUGUUAUAACAUAAGGUCAACAAAUGAAAUCAAGUCUCGUUCUAAAUACUUUAAAACAAAUAAUUAUAUCUGAAAACUAAGUCCAUCACUCCAUAUCCUGAAUCAACUCAACUUUGCUCCAACAUCAACUUACAGAACACCCUGGUGGGUGGUUUGGGGUCCGUCUUUCAUGCUGUAAUCUUAACAAUUAAUAUAUUAACAUAAUUAUUAUACUGCUAAGAUAGCAUUCGCAUUAAACCUCAUCUUAUCAUAAAGAGUUAACAUUCAUUUCCUUCACUACUCAACCAUUACUAAGGUUGUCUAACUUCUACUAGCAUCAUCUUUCUAGGAUAUCAUGACUAUAGGGCGUCCCCUAAACUCAUCUAACUAAACCAACCAUCUCUUUGUCGGACUUAAGAUAACACUGUGGGUCUUUGGUGGCCUAUCACUAUCAUGUGGGUCUCUAGGGGCCGAAUAACUAAUAACGGAUCUCUGGUGGUCCUAAAUGUUAACAUUGGAUCUCUGGUGGCCUAAUUGAUAACACUGGGUCUCUAGUGGCCCAAUUGGUUAAGCCUUGGACCUCUAGUGGUCCAAGGUCAUACACUGACAUUCUGGAUCCGCAGUCUAGUCAGAGUGGUACAUGCUGCGGCAUCACUUGACUACUAGAUUGUCUACUAAAGGUCUAGACUUAUGGUAGGUCUAGAGUGGUAAAUGCUAAAGACUUUAACGGCGGCCAUGAUAUCGUUAUUCAAUACACUAAUGUUAAACUUGACAUCAGCUUCAUAAUGCCCGCUGUUAAAUGUCAAACACAGAAAUCAAAUUUUCUGGUUUCUGCUUGUUCCCUGUUAUCAUUGGCCGCUGUUUUGCUAUUCGUUGUGCACAAUUAAACAUUUUUAACGAAAAAGAGAUUCAUACCAUGAAAUAGAAAUCAUUCCAUCAUCCAGAAGAUAGAAACAUCAUAGAAAUUCAAGUACUAAUAACUAGAAAUCACUCCAUCAUUCCAUCAAUCCAUCACUACUAGCUAGCUACUAAUAAUUAUCACUACUCCAAAGCAUUCUUGUGAUCCGCUGCUUCUUCUUCUUCCUCUUCUUCUCUAUGAUAUGGUAUGUGCAAAUCCUUGUCCAAUCGCUUCUUUCCAACACUCUUCUUUUGUCCCAUACUAGUAGGAUUUCUAACACUAAUGUCAGAACUAGUUCUAUUAGCAUUGAGAGUUUUGAAAGCUUUACUCAUCUCCUUUAGCACCGGACGAAGUUCAACUCCAUCCCGGGAUAAAAACUUCAACAUUUCUGAUGUGAACGGCUUGAAGAAUGUUGGAUUGAGUAUUGGAUCAACAGGAGCGGAAAAAGAAGCACCACCACUUCUCUUAAGUUUCUUCUAGAACUGAAAUAGAAAAAAUAGUAAAUUUGGUAAAUUAUUUACAUGACCUAUUAUUAUUCUCAUACUCUUCCAUCUGCAAAAUUAAUAACUACACCAACAUUGACUCAAGGCAGCAUAUUCACUAUCAAAGUAUAACAAAGGCAAUAACAUCAUCAUAUUCACUACCAAAUCAUCCUAAUCAUUUCAUAAUCUAAGUCACUUACUUUCUUUGGAUUCGCCCCAUGGUCUAGACCUCACACUCGGCCUGCUUUCUCUCCACUAGGAUAAUUUUGACCAACUGCAUCAUUUGGAUCAAAUCCUAGAGCAGUGUCCGGAUCAUCCAUGAAUGCCCUAACUUCCUUCGGCAAGCAAUAAGUAAUCAAGUUCAUAAAUAGUUACAUAUAUGUCAUAUAAACCAUACAUGAACACCAAAGCAUAAUAAUCAAGUAUCACUUACACUUUUCUUUUCUGUUGUAGUCAUGGGAUAGGACUUCCCAUUAGCCUUCAUGUGAGUGGCGAGAAAUAGAUCUCCCUUGCCUACUGGACCACCUUGUGCCCUCUCCUUUACAAAUAAUGUUAGUAGUAGUCAGUAUAAUAAACUUAUCCAUAUCGAUAUACUAUUUCUAAUUAAGAGUAUAAUGAUAUUAUUACCAUUUCUUUCUUCUUUCGAUCGAACGACUUUGAACCAGAAGUAUGGUACACAUCUUGAGCAGCUCUGUUCUCUUUGUUAGCGGCAGAACAUUUUUGGACAAUGUUCAAUUACCAAAUCAAAAGUAGGUGCGGGAAAGAUGUUCAAUAUUUAGCAAAUCCUAUAAGAUCACUUACAAUUAAUUUUUUGCCACACUUGUAUUUGCAGAAGGCAUCCUAAUCACGUUUGUCAACCCCUUUUGUGGGAAUUUUGGACUUGUUGAUCUUCGAAUCAUCAUAGAUAUUACAUUCUGCUUCUUCCAAAGCCCAAUUCGAUACUCCCUCCACUUUUUGGCCAGGUCUAGCAUGAUGAAACGUUGCAUUGCUUCAUGAUGGACUUCGUCCCAGGUGAACCUUGGUUUGAAGUAGAUGAGAUGUAUAGUUAGUGGAUGAAUUUCAAUUUUUUUGAAGAACAAACAUAUAUGAAAAUCCGUACCGCAAUCAUCUCAUCCCAAAAGUGCUCCCUUGCUCUCUAAAUCUAUGACAUGCCAAUCCUCGACCCUGAGUGGUAGGUAACCUUCAUGUUUUGCACACUUCCCAAGGAACUGGCGCAAGUAUCCGCCACCCUCCCCAGGUGGAAGCCCAAAUGAGUCAAUGUGUAUCAUUAUCUUCUUUCCAUUACGCCCUAACUUUGCCCAAUCUUUUGUCUUCCAAGCCUCGAUCCCUAAAUCUUCAUCAUUCGCAUCUGAAACAAAUUCAUAACCAACUCAAUAAAUUGCUGAAAACCUACCAAGUGUAAUUUAUAUAAUUCAAAUGCAUGUUCAUAUAUUACCAACUAGGUGUACAUACCACCAUUGCCUUUGUUCCUUCUUGGGACGACGUUCAUCAUCACCUCCAUCACCAGCUCCACUUGCACCACCCAAGCUGGGACCUCCAUCCAUCACAUGUGCAUCACUAAAUUUUAUAGCCUUUUUCUUGAGGACAAGCGAAGCUUAAGUGAGAGGUUAUUUGAUGAAGUUUGAUUUAUCUCAUUCAUCACCCUCCUUUAAGCGACAUUUCAUGCAUAAUUGUGUUGAUUUGGGUGGAAGUUUAGGGUGUUUUGUGCAUUUGUAGCUUCUAUAUCAAUUUAGUGUCUCAGACUCAUUUGGGGUCCAUUUGAUGUCGUUUUGGAGUGUUUUAGAUAGAUUUCAGGUACAUAAUGAUAUCAAGGCACUAUUCAGAGCAAUACAUGCAUGCGUAGACGAGACAGGAUGGACCGAGGAGUCAAAGAAAACAAAUUUUGGACCGCUGCCAGCAUUGGCGCCUUAGGUUAGUCAAUAAUUGCGUAUGCCUAGGCAAACUAUUUGACAAGUCUUAAGCACCAAGGUUGACAACAUCGCCUGGAAAUCUUGUUACAUAUUAUUGUGCCUUAGACUUGUCAAUAAUUGCGCCUAAGCAAGGCGCAAUGUUUGACCAAGGUAAUGAUGUUUUCUCUCUUAUGUCUUUCUCUAACUACUUUUUUCUCAACUCCAUAUCAUGUUUUCCCUCAUUUGAGGUCCAUCCAUCCGAUCUGGAUGUUAUAAUUCACCUCUUUAAUAGGGUUGAUAUUACCUGCAACAAACAAGAAUUAAAUGGCAACAAACGAAAAAAGAUCUAAAGCCAUGAUAAUAUUAAAAUUCAAAUCUUCAACCACCACUUCAAAGGAAUUAAUCAAAACGAAGGAUUAUGGCUGGUAUGUAACAGAGGAUGCAUAUAGUUCACAGACUACCUUGCAUUACUCUAAUUUAUCUAAUGAACCUCAUUAAGAACCCCCCCCCCCCCCCCCCCCCCCCCCCCCCCCCCCCCCCCCCCCCCCCCCCCCCCCCCCCCCCCCCCCCCCCCCCCCCCCCCCCCCCCCCCCCCCCCCCCCCCCCCCCCCCCCCCCCCCCCCCCCCCCCCCCCCCCCCCCCCCCCCCCCCCCCCCCCCCCCCCCCCCCCCCCUCUACCCUUUUGUGUUGCAUAAGAUGGGAUAUAAGUAUUAUACCCCGGCUCGAUGUGUAAAAAGACCUGCAAAACUUCACAGCAAACUAAUCACCCAGAAAUCCCAAUACUCCCCG